ACUCCUACGGGAGGCAGCAGUGAGGAUAUUGUCAAUGGGCGAGAGCCUGAACCAGCCAAGUAGCGUGCAGGAUGACGGCCCUAUGGGUUGUAAACUGCUUUUGUGCGGGGAUAAAGUGUGGGACGGGUCCCAUAUUGCAGGUACCGCAUGAGUAAGGACCGGCUAAUUCCGUGCCAGCAGCCGCGGUAAU
RNAcentral lists this ribosomal RNA (190 nucleotides) under uncultured bacterium. Its description in RNAcentral is "partial 16S ribosomal RNA". It matches the Rfam family "Bacterial small subunit ribosomal RNA", at positions 335 to 524 of the family's 1533-position model. The record is from RNAcentral.